UACGGAGGAUCCAAGCGUUAUCCGGAAUCAUUGGGUUUAAAGGGUCCGUAGGCGGUUUAGUAAGUCAGUGGUGAAAGCCCAUCGCUCAACGGUGGAACGGCCAUUGAUACUGCUGAACUUGAAUUAUUAGGAAGUAACUAGAAUAUGUAGUGUAGCGGUGAAAUGCUUAGAGAUUACAUGGAAUACCAAUUGCGAAGGCAGGUUACUACUAAUGGAUUGACGCUGAUGGACGAGAGCGUGGGUAGCGAACAGG
This 253-nucleotide ribosomal RNA is filed under the name uncultured bacterium. Its description in RNAcentral is "partial 16S ribosomal RNA". It matches the Rfam family "Bacterial small subunit ribosomal RNA", at positions 524 to 776 of the family's 1533-position model. The record is from RNAcentral.